CUGGCAAGCAGAGGAGCUAAAUUCAAGUCUGAAGACGGCUCUGUUUCUCCACCUCCAGUCAGUAAUGGGGAGCCUUGAGCCAUUCAUGACACACCAGUUGCCUGAAAAGAGGUGAAGAUGGAAUCACAUAGGAUGUUAAAGCUGCGUUAUCACUUCUGGUUGGACUAGGAUCAAGAAAUGAAUUCAAGGAACAACCAAUGUCAUAGAACCAUCCCUCCAAUGAGAUGCCAGAAGGAUGAAAAGAUUUUAUCUUCCCUCUUGUGUUUCGCAAAGCUCAAUUGAAACCAAGACUGUCUCCUUUUUCUUCACCAAUAUUCAUCCAUGACUAUAUAAGACGCUCCUGUAGGGUAAGAACUAUGUUUUGUCUGUCUGUGGCUCCAGCCCAGUGAUGGUUAUGAGUAGGCACUAAACCUGUGCUAGGAUUGUUUAUUAAUAUCCAAUAAUCAAUAAUGAUUCUUAAUAUCAAUAAGUACAAAUUUUAUUAAUGGCAACUCAGGGUGGUUAGUGACUUGUCUCUUUUCCCUUCUUUCCCAGCAAGAUUUCCCUUGGGUUUAAGUUCCAGGAGACACACAUGCAUUCUUCCUGGACAGGCUUAUGCCUUGAGUCCUUGUCUGCUUUCCUUCCCUGGGAAGGACUCAUCAAUGAUGUGUUUCUCUCCCUUAAAAUAUUAGACCUGGAGAAAGCCCUAAUCAGUCAGUUGGACUGCUUCACUUCUUCUGAAAUAGAAGCCUGAAACCUGGUCAGCACUUUUGAGGCCAACAGGACACCCAAGGACCCUCAGGACACCAACAAUCUCCUCAACACUAGGCUAAAAUGAGUUUACUAAAAGCUCCUUUACUUUAAGUCCAUUCUAAUUACCUCUCUAUCCAAUGUCCUAAGACAAGAAUAUCUUGCAUGUAAUAGUCACUAAUAAAAUUUUGAUUUUUAAUGGAUUGAUGUAUGAAUGUACCAACCAAACAAUGAAUACACCAGUGAGUGAAUAAAAAGUGGGUAAGGAAAUGUAGAAUGGAUGGAUGGUGGGAAGCAGCUGCAUAACACAGGGAGAUCAGCUCGGUGCUU
Molecule: long non-coding RNA, 1059 nt
Organism: Orcinus orca (killer whale)
Lineage: Eukaryota; Metazoa; Chordata; Mammalia; Artiodactyla; Delphinidae
Exons: 3
Source: RefSeq, a predicted model, not a curated record